Perognathus longimembris pacificus (Pacific pocket mouse) is the source of this 1209-nucleotide long non-coding RNA. RefSeq lists it as uncharacterized. NCBI's taxonomy places the organism in Eukaryota, Metazoa, Chordata, Mammalia, Rodentia, Heteromyidae. The record is from RefSeq and is a predicted model, not a curated record. The transcript has 3 exons.
GUGCCAGUGGCUCACAUCUAUAAUCCUAGUUACUCAUGAGGUUGAGCCCUGGAGGGUCUCAAUUCAAAGCUAACUCUGAGUAGCAAGUCUGCAAGACUCCAUCUCCAAUUAACUAGCAAAAUGUCAGACUAAACAUGUGGCUCAAGUGGCAGAGCACCAUAGGUGAGCCUUGUAAGAGGUCCCAAGAUCAAGCCACAGUACUGAAACACAAACCCACACACAAUCAGGAUUACAUACUGUUUAGUUAACUUGCUUCUCUCUCCAUCUCUUCCUACACAACAAUUUGGCUCUUACUCAUAUCCUUACAUACUUCUCUAUGACACUAUGUUUACCAAAGCCAAACAGAUAAGUCAAGGUGUCCAACAACAAGAAAUAACUGAACUGGUGAAUAAUGAAUAAAGAAUGUGUGGUACAUGGGACAUUACACAGCCACAAAGAAAACUGAAAUCUUGCCAUUUGCAGAAAAUAGAUGGAAUUGUAGAACAUUAUACUGAGGAAGAUAAACCAAGCUCUAGAAGCAAAAUAUGUUUUUGCUUUUAAUGUGGGUAUUAAACCUAAAAGACAUUCAUAGAUGUAUACAUGUGUCUACACCACACCUAUAUAUGUAUAAAUAUAUAUACACACAUACACAGACCGUGAUUCUAACCAUUGGGACUAUGUAGAAAGUCAAGAGGAAGAAGAGAAGGGGAAAAUAAAAGAUGGAGAGUGAAUAACUUCAAAUACAGAAUAUGGCAUAAAGAACUACAAUGAAAGUAAAUAGGGGAAGCAUUAGAAAGCAAUGGAGGGUUAUUCUGAGCAAAACAUAACACACGUGUCUGAAAUACCAUAAUGAAAAACCCUUUGUACAUACAUACAUUAAAUUAAUACAUACUUUAAAAAGGGGGGGAAGGGGAAGGAUAACAAGAACCAAGUACAGCCUUGGAUAGAGACUAGGCACCAGCAGGAGAGAAGAGAGCUCACAAAGAGUGUGACUAUAGAUGAACAGUAUUGCUGUAGUUUAUUUGCAUGUCUGGACAUAAAAACUACUGAAAUUGUUUUAAGAAGUGAGACUGGGAUAAGAUAAUGAUAGAGGGUGAGGGAGACCAGGAUACAUUGCACACACGUGUGGAAAUGUCACUAUCCGACUCACUUGUUGGACUAGUGUAUGCUAAUAAAAAAAAAUCUCCAACCCAAUCUUGCUCCAAAUACAUUUUACCAGAAGCUCUUGCU